AUUUUUGUGGUCACAUGACUAGACUAUUAUCAGCCAGAUGAAGACGUGCUGCCUGCUUCUCUGCCGUAGCCUACAUGAUUGAGGGUAGCCUACAGGUGUCUGCCCGUCCCCAGCCUGCGUCUCUCCCGGUCGGAGAAGGAGGAGUAGGAGUCAGGCCGCAAUAACCCUACGACUUAUACGAGGGAUCUACAGACUCAAUCAGUGUCUACUGGCUCACCUGUGACACCAGAGGCUCUGAACACCCUGUGGCUGGGACCAAGUAUCCUGUUAAGCUGCACAAACAUGGACAACCCAUUCAUUGCUGCCUUGAAGGACAGAGGAGUUCCUGAUGAAAACCUUGAAAAAAUGUUGCACGACAAGGUGGACCAAGACGUCUCCAGAAUGAUGGAUGAGGAAACCCUCUCCAAGUACCUACCUCAUUUUGGAGACCGUGUUUUUGCUAGAAAUUGGACUAGCACAUU
Molecule: long non-coding RNA, 461 nt
Organism: Notolabrus celidotus (New Zealand spotty)
Lineage: Eukaryota; Metazoa; Chordata; Actinopteri; Labriformes; Labridae
Exons: 5
Source: RefSeq, a predicted model, not a curated record